Long non-coding RNA from Lynx canadensis (Canada lynx), 2921 nucleotides. RefSeq lists it as uncharacterized. The transcript is spliced from 3 exons. The record is from RefSeq and is a predicted model, not a curated record. NCBI's taxonomy places the organism in Eukaryota, Metazoa, Chordata, Mammalia, Carnivora, Felidae.
GUCACUUUAACUUUAAAGACUAUUUUAAGAAAGUCACGUGUAAACGUGAAAUAGAUGUUUAUACCCCAGUAGGUGACAAAUACAACCUUUGAGGCAAAGAACAAACCGUCCAUCUCUCUUGCUGGCUUUAGUUCAUCCGUCUACCUGAAGACAGGCCCAAGUGCAUACUCGGGUUUCUUGCAGUUCAGAAUCGUCUCUGAUUCAACAAAACUGAGUUUCACUCCAUAUCUGAAUUAACAACCUUAAAGAAGACUACAGUGGUUAAAAGAGGAAGAGUAGAGAUCUGUUCCAUAAAUGAUUAAUGUACCCCUUUGGGGAGUAAUUUUUCAGAAAUAUGUGCCAUGAGUAAAACUAGAGAAUUCCACCUCUGAGUGAGGGUAGAUUUAUAUAUAUCCUGAAUCUAUAUAUAUCUUGAAUUCCUAUAUAUCUUGAAUCUAUAUAUGUCUUGAAUAUAUAUAUCUUGAAUAUAUAACUCUUGGAUACAUACAUAUGUAACUUGAAUAUAUGUAUACAUGCAUGUAUGUAUAGACAUACAUACAUGCGUGUAUAUAUAUAUAUAUAUAUAUGUGUGCAUAUAUAUAUAUAUAUAUACACACACAUAUAUAAAUUUUUGGUUAUGUCUGUUUACCUGAACUGAUUUGAGAUCAGACUCAAACAGAUUCUUAAGCAUCUGGUGCCAAGUUACUGAAUUAAAAUUUCUUGAUGAACUAUUUUAAGUUAUUUCAAAUUAAAUUUUCUACGUACUGGAAUUGUUUGUUUGAUUUUAUCUUAAAAUUCUAUUCUAUCUGUUAUACACCCCUUUACACAACCUUUCCAAAUGUCCAACUACCAAAACAAUACGGUUAAAAAAGGCAGGAGUAGCAAUCCUUCUAUAGUUUAUUGUGAGGAGCUGGACGUAAAAGCAACACCCUAAGGACAUUCAAGCAAAUAGCACUAUUUCCUUUAACGUUGUUUCAUCUCUUCCCCAGAGUCGCUCCUUUGUUGUCCAUGGUUCAAUCUGGGAAGCCAGACACUGCUCCUGGGGCCAUCACAGUCCCCCCCCCGCGCAGUCAUGGAGAUAGUUCUUUGCCCGUGUGCCUUGCUAAUAGGUUUGCUUGAUGAGAAUAAGGCUGGUGGGAAGACAGCAGUGAAGGAGAUCUCUUCCCUUCUGAAUUUUCAGAGGGGAUGUUAUAAUCCUGCAGCUUUAACGUGUUCAUGUUAUCAAGUGAUAUAAGAACCCAAAGCCCCAGAUUAAUACUUGGAAACUGUACUGUCAACCUCAAACACAGUAAGGUAAACACAUUGAACUGAACCGCAAGUGACCUUGCUAUUGAAGUUAGAUAGAAACUCCUACCACAUCGGACUUCCGGGGUUUGGUACAAUCAUUUGUCUUGAUGGCCUCAUGUAUGCAGUCGCUAUAGUCAGUAUUACACUUGCCACAUUUACAGCUUAUAGCUACCGGGUAGGAGAAAUAGGGAGUAACAUGGUGUGGGCAUCCUGGUAUUUCUACAGUCUUGUACAGGAAGUCUCUGUAGGUGCAAACAUCUUGGGACAGAGCAUAUUUGGGAAGAAACAGUUUGCCAUUGAUAUCCUGAGGGAAGAACAGAAGAGGAAGCAAAAUGUUAAUUCGCUUACAUCCCAUAGAUACAAAUAGGACUGGGGGAGGAUUCCUUAGUCCCAUUCCCCAAUACCAAUUCAGCAUAUCCACACUGAAUCCUAUAGAGACAAAAAUGACAUACACACACACCUCUCUUUUAUCCUUGAUCGUGGGAACAAGAUAAGGUUUAAAUAAACUUUGGGAGUAAAACUAUUGUAAAAAUUAUCUGUACCAACUGUAUGGAAUAGGUCCGUAUAUUAUAACCUAGGGACUCUACCUCUAAGGAGCCAAUGACCGUUAGGUCUGCGAAAUGAGGUUGUGAUUUAUCUCAUUUCCUUUCUGGAUAGAAAUGGACUGAGUCUAGGUUUAUCUAAUUUUCAGCUAAAAGAAGUGAGAUGAACUACAUACCCGUGUCAUACAAUAUCCAGCACAGAUGGUGGUGUUGAUGGUUAGGCAAUAAGCACACUCUUUCCUUUCGACAUGCAUCAUAUACUCAGUUGGAAAACAAAAAGACAUCGCUUGUCCACAUGCCAGGCCAAAAAGCACGGACAUCACGUAGAUUGCAGUCAUGCUAAAUCAAAGACAAAAUUAAAGACUCUAUUACAUGAAUCCUUUAGGACAUUCAGAAGGGACAUUUAGAAAGAGCUACAGUGCGUGUGCAUAUGUGUGUGCGUGUGUGUGUGUAAAUAUAUAUAUUUAUCGAAUGCCUACUUUGUCCUAGGCCCUAUAUUAGGUGUUUUUACAUACUUAGUACUCUCAAUAACCUUUCUUUAUAAUGUGGCCAUGAGCCAUAUACGUCAUAGUGUAGGAACUCACAUAGCAAAUGUCCUGCUCGCAAGUGCCACUUAACAACACUGGGCAGUGAAAUGGAAAGCCUGAAACAUCACAAUAGAAAAGUGACAGACACAUAAGGUCAACUCAGCGCAAAACAAUUCAUUCAGUAGAAACAGUUUAAAUACCUGCCUCUAAUUAUAAGAAGUGACUUAACAGGCCUCAGUAGGGGCUUUUCAAAACAGGAGUUUUCUAAAAUCUUUGGUUCGAUAGUUUAAAAGGCCAACAGACUAGUCAUAAUUAGAAAGCAUAUAGAAACCAAGAAAAUGUAUAAUCAAACUGUAGUGCCAUCUCAAUGCAAAUAAGCUUGCAUACAAUUCUAUCCAAUGUCUGUCAAGGAAGAUGAAGCUAGAGAAAGCCUAGAAUGGGCCAACUAUUCUAGUGUUAUUCUAACCGGUGUUAAAGGGUUAACCCAGAAAUCUAGAACCCCCCCCCCCUUUUCCAACCCUGAGAAUAUUCUCUGAUGGUUGAAAGAAGUGGAGUUGGACAAAUAAAAAUUAUUUUACUAAGAAAA